Ictalurus furcatus (blue catfish) is the source of this 919-nucleotide long non-coding RNA. RefSeq lists it as uncharacterized. The record is from RefSeq and is a predicted model, not a curated record. The transcript is spliced from 3 exons. NCBI's taxonomy places the organism in Eukaryota, Metazoa, Chordata, Actinopteri, Siluriformes, Ictaluridae.
CUUAAGACUGGGUGUGUUUUUUAUUAUUAUUUUAUUUUUUUGAUUUAUUGUCGAUUAAUGUUCCCUGUUUGAGUCUGAACUGCAGCCUGGAAUUAUCAUCCAGAAUAUCUGAGAAAUGUGCAAGCAUAUAGCCUCCAGUACACUGCAUGGCCAAAAGUAUGUGGACGGGUUGUCCACUAAUCAUAGGAUUGGCGGUUCGAUUCCUGGCCCACAUGACUCCACAUACCGACGUGUCCUUGGGCAAGACACUGAACUCCAAGUUGCUCCCGAUGGCAAGUUAGCACCUUGCAUGGCAGCUCUGCUACCCUUGCAAGCACAUAAUCGUCCAGAAAGUCUUUGUGUGCUGUAGCAUUACAAUUUCCCUUCGCUGGAGCCUGUUCCAGUAUGACAGUGUGUCCCUGUGCCCAAAGCAAGCUCCAUGAAGAAGGACAUGGUGUGGUAAGGUUGGAGUGGAAGAACUCGAGUGUCCUGAACAGAGAGCCCUGACCAAAAGCCCACUGACUCAACACCUUCAGGAUGAAUUGGAACACAGACUGCACCACAGGACUCCUUUACAUCCCAACAUCAGUUCCUGACCUCACAAAUCCUCACAAAGCGCAUUAUAACAGUAAAGGGGGAAUAUAUCUGGACUGGGACGUUCAACAAGCACAUAUGGGAGUGAUGGUCAGGUGUCCACAAACUUUUGGCAAUGUAUUCUAUCUCUCUAUCUAUUUACUUAUUUUAUUUUUUCAAUAUUUCUUGGAGUGACGUAAGCAUAUGUGAGUAUCCCUAGAGGAUAAAAAAUAGGCCUACAUUUUUGAUAUUAGACCUACACUGUUACGCAUUGUGAUUCUGAUAUUAUGUGAUGUGAAAAAUCGGUCUGCAUUAUUAUUUUGGUGAUAAAUAACAUCAGUUUAAAUAAAUGAAAUAAAGUAUCCAA